This 506-nucleotide ribosomal RNA is filed under the name uncultured bacterium. Its description in RNAcentral is "partial 16S ribosomal RNA". It matches the Rfam family "Bacterial small subunit ribosomal RNA", at positions 30 to 523 of the family's 1533-position model. The record is from RNAcentral.
AUUGAACGCUGGCGGCAGGCCUAACACAUGCAAGUCGAACGGUAACAGGAAACAGCUUGCUGUUUCGCUGACGAGUGGCGGACGGGUGAGUAAUGUCUGGGAAACUGCCUGAUGGAGGGGGAUAACUACUGGAAACGGUAGCUAAUACCGCAUAACGUCGCAAGACCAAAGAGGGGGACCUUCGGGCCUCUUGCCAUCGGAUGUGCACAGGUGGGAUUAGCUAGUAGGUGGGGUAACGGCUCACCUAGGGGACGAUCCCUAGCUGGUCUGAGAGGAUGACCAGCCACACUGGAACUGAGACACGGUCCGGACUCCUACGGGAGGCAGUAGUGGGGAAUAUUGCACAAUGGGCGCAAGCCUGAUGCAGCCAUGCCGCGUGUAUGAAGAAGGCCUUCGGGUUGUAAAGUACUUUCAGCGGGGAGGAAGGGAGUAAAGUCAAUACCUUUGCUCAUUGACGUUACCCGCAGAAGAAGCACCGGCUAACUCCGUGCCAGCCGCCGCUGUAA